UGUAGGAAGCACUGUAUGAGGCUCCAGAGGCAGCAGUUGGAAGGGAUAUGCAGAGGAGGAUUGAGAGAACGUUCCAUCAGCAAUUAUGGAGAUCCUACCUAGAUAACCUGUAGCCUGCCAGCUUGUCUGCCUGUUGCUGACACUCGCAUAGCUCACGUAUCUCCAGUCAGACAUCUCUUACGGUGGUAUUAGACUUCCUCUAAUCCUCGGCUCAUCUCCAUCUUAUCUUGGAAACUCACAGGAAAGUUUCUCCUCUCCCAGACACACUUCAUCCCACAUACAGCAAAGUUCUUGCACUAUAUUGGCUGGUAGAAUAUAAAUUUCCCCAUCAGAAGUACUGAUUCACCAAGCCUCAUCUAUACAGAGUAGUGUUGACCUCCAGUCUGUUCAUUACGACGAAAAUACGAUGACUUUUUAAAGCAUAGACACCGAUUUCCCUGCUUCUGAAGUUCACUAAUGCUCAGACGAUGGGAAUUCAUUUCUGUGCAAGCCCAAUAAUAUUAGCCUGUUUGCGGUCCAAGUAAGUACAAAAUGUCAUUAAACCAUUUAUACUGAUUUACUGGUUGGAUAGUACAUGCAAAAUCACUAUUGAGCGGAUGGAGUCUUGGCUGUGUAAUAAGAAGGCAGGCUAUUUUUCCAACCCUGUUUAAAUUUAGUUGAGGCCUAAUACCUGAAGCGAUUCACAUCGUCUUCUGAGCAAUGUCUCCGUUAUAUUAUGAUCAAGCCAUUUAUAUGUUUUGUGGGUUUUAGUGAUACUCUA
Long non-coding RNA from Cuculus canorus (common cuckoo), 760 nucleotides. RefSeq lists it as uncharacterized. The record is from RefSeq and is a predicted model, not a curated record. The transcript is spliced from 4 exons. NCBI's taxonomy places the organism in Eukaryota, Metazoa, Chordata, Aves, Cuculiformes, Cuculidae.